UGGGGAAUCUUGCGCAAUGGGCGAAAGCCUGACGCAGCGACGCCGCGUGCGGGAAGAAGGCCUUAGGGUUGUAAACCGCUUUCAGGAGGGACGAAGCCACUCGGGUGAAUAGCCCAGAGGGUGACGGUACCUCCAGAAGAAGCCCCGGCUAACUACGUGCCAGCAGCCGCGGUAAUACGUAGGGGGCAAGCGUUGUCCGGAUUCAUUGGGCGUAAAGAGCGUGUAGGCGGCCAGGUAGGUCGGUUGUGAAAACUGGAGGCUCAACCUUCAGACGUCGACCGAAACCCCCUGGCUAGAGUCCGGGAGAGGAGAGUGGAAUUCCUGGUGUAGCGGUGGAAUGCGCAGAUAUCAGGAAGAACACCCGUGGCGAAAGCGGCUCUCUGGAACGGUACUGACGCUGAGACGCGAAAGCGUGGGGAGCGAACAGG
This 428-nucleotide ribosomal RNA is filed under the name uncultured Gaiellaceae bacterium. RNAcentral describes it as "bacterial SSU rRNA". It matches the Rfam family "Bacterial small subunit ribosomal RNA", at positions 355 to 776 of the family's 1533-position model. Lineage: Bacteria; Bacillati; Actinomycetota; Thermoleophilia; Gaiellales; Gaiellaceae. The record is from RNAcentral.